This is a long non-coding RNA of Mya arenaria, 544 nucleotides long. RefSeq lists it as uncharacterized. Lineage: Eukaryota; Metazoa; Mollusca; Bivalvia; Myida; Myidae. The transcript is spliced from 3 exons. The record is from RefSeq and is a predicted model, not a curated record.
AGAGAAGGAAGCUUUACACUAAUAGCGUGAUAAUAGGUUUGACUUGAGGAUGGAGUGACAUAUUACAUUGUUAAUUAAGAUCGAACUUUUUAUGUUAUGAGUACUUAAAUUUUGAAUAAGAAAGUCAUUGAUCAAUAAAGGGAAAUAGGUUUUGCCGUCAGCAUUGGAUUUUACAGGGAUGUCAACGUAAUUCGAAAACUUGGUGGAAUACGGAGGACACUUACCCUGCAAGACAUCAGCACUAAUUUCAGCUACAUCGUAGCGAGUACAGAACAAGCGGGGGACCAGCUGCAAACACCUUAACUGCUCUCGUGACAGGAUGCCUGACGUCUCAAAUCGAACAAGAAAGGAGGGGGGGUCCGGUAAAUGCAAUCGCAUUCAUUCAAAACAAGUAGCUGUUAUUUGUAUACUAGCAACCGUCAUCCUAACGCUUGUGUUCCUAGUUCUGAUAAUAGCCUUAGCUGUUAAAAUAACAUCUUUAACACAACCUCAAGAAAGCUUAACUUGCAUUCCUUGCGACAAAAUGAAGACCAAUGCUAACACA